UUUGCAUGCACUGAGGAUAGAAUAGCCCUCCUCAAUGUGGGGUGGUUAUGAUACCCUUUCCCAAAGAACUGUAAACUCUUAGAAGAGCAGGAGUUGUUGCAGUAUCCAACCUUCAAGAUGGCCUCCAAUGAUACCCAUUUCCACAUAUUUAUAACUGUGUACUUUUCUUCUGUUACCAAGGUUGAUACGUGUUACACAUAGAAUAUGGUAAAAGUGAUGAAACCCUAUCAUGAACAAUCCUAAGGAGAGACCAACAUGGCAAAGAAGAAAAGCCUCCUGCCAACAAUCGUACGAGUGAACUUGGAAGUUGAUUAUGCCACCACAGUUGAACAUUGAGAUGAGUGCAGCCUCAGGCAAUGGACGUGACUGCAACCUUGGGACAGACCUUGAACCAAACCACCCAGAUACUAUGUUUAUUCGGAAUUGGUGGUUUCUGACAACCCUACAUGAGGAAUUCUGUUGACACCAUGUUUCCAACAGGAUGUGAUCACUUUGUAUCUUUGUCAC
This 507-nucleotide long non-coding RNA is filed under the name Homo sapiens (human). RNAcentral's name for it is "HSALNT0325694". The record is from RNAcentral. Lineage: Eukaryota; Metazoa; Chordata; Mammalia; Primates; Hominidae.